Molecule: ribosomal RNA, 253 nt
Filed under: uncultured bacterium
Lineage: Bacteria
Description: partial 16S ribosomal RNA
Rfam family: Bacterial small subunit ribosomal RNA
Source: RNAcentral
UACGUAGGGGGCGAGCGUUGUCCGGAAUCAUUGGGCGUAAAGAGCGUGUAGGCGGCUUGGCAAGUCUUGCGUGAAAUCCUGCGGCUCAACCGCAGGCGGUCGCAGGAAACUGCCUCGCUAGAGUCCGGAAGAGGAGAGCGGAAUUCCUGGUGUAGCGGUGGAAUGCGCAGAUAUCAGGAAGAACACCCGUGGCGAAGGCGGCUCUCUGGGACGGUACUGACGCUGAGACGCGAAAGCGUGGGUAGCAAACAGG